ACACCUCAACUCUCAUGGUCCACCAUGAUGAGCUUGGAAUUUGGAGGUAUUGCCGGCCCAAUUGUCGGCUCCUCUCAAAUGGAUCAGCUUGCCAGUGUUUGGUGGCAUCACGGGUGUGAUAACUAUCUACGCUCGUGGUUUUCCACCAUGCAACCUUCAGCGAUGGAGGUUCGCUGGAGCUUACAGACGUCUCUCCUCAGGGAGGACAGCUUUUUGAAC
This 219-nucleotide unclassified non-coding RNA is filed under the name uncultured Tomentella. RNAcentral's name for it is "partial internal transcribed spacer 2". Lineage: Eukaryota; Fungi; Basidiomycota; Agaricomycetes; Thelephorales; Thelephoraceae. The record is from RNAcentral.